This 253-nucleotide ribosomal RNA is filed under the name uncultured bacterium. Its description in RNAcentral is "partial 16S ribosomal RNA". It matches the Rfam family "Bacterial small subunit ribosomal RNA", at positions 524 to 776 of the family's 1533-position model. The record is from RNAcentral.
UACGUAGGGUGCAAGCGUUGUCCGGAAUUAUUGGGCGUAAAGGGCUCGUAGGCGGUCCAUCGCGUCGGGAGUGAAAAGCUGGGGCUUAACCCCAGUCCUGCUUCCGAUACGGGUGGACUAGAGGUAGGUAGGGGAGAUCGGAAUUCCUGGUGUAGCGGUGAAAUGCGCAGAUAUUAGGAAGAACACCAGUGGCGAAGGCGGCUCACUGGUCCGGUACUGACGCUGAGGUGCGAAAGCGUGGGGAGCAAACAGG